GCUAAGCCCUAAACAUUGAAAGCCACCACGCUUUCCGCCAGAGAACUACGAGCAACAAGCUUAAAACUCAAAGGACUUGACGGUGUCCCACAUCGACCUAGAGGAGCCUGUCCUGUAAUCGAUACCCCCCGUUCCACCCAACCAUUACUAGCAAUCAGCCUAUAUACCGCCGUCGACAGUCUACCCCAUGAGGGAACAGUAGACACAAUAGUUAUCAACUAGUACGUCAGGUCAAGGUGUAGCAAAUGUAAAGGAAGAGAUUGGCUACAUUUUUUAACUUAAAAAACACGAAAUAUAGCAUGAAACCCUAUAUGAAGGCGAAUUUAGCAGUAAAAUAAACAAGAGUGUUUAUUUUAACAUCGCUCUGGGACGCGU
Molecule: ribosomal RNA, 375 nt
Filed under: Mesalina watsonana
Lineage: Eukaryota; Metazoa; Chordata; Lepidosauria; Squamata; Lacertidae
Description: partial small subunit ribosomal RNA
Rfam family: Bacterial small subunit ribosomal RNA
Source: RNAcentral